UCUGCCUCCCAAGUGCUGGGAUUAAAGGCAUGCGCCACCAUGCCCAGCUAUACUGGUCUCUUCUUUUUUUUUAAAGAUUUAUUUAUUUAUUAUAUGUAAGUACACUGUAGCUGUCUUCAGACGCACCAGAAGAGGGCAUCAGAUCUCUGUUACAGGUGGUUGUGAGCCACCAUGUGGUUGCUGGGAUUUGAACUUUGGACCUUUGGAAGAGCAGUCAGGUGCUCUUACCCCCUGAGCCAUCUCACCAGCCCCCACUGGUCUCUUCUUAAUCACCACUAAUUUCUUAGCUCCAGCUAACCAGCAUCAAUAGUCCCAGUAAUGCAAAGUUUUUGCUUUAUUGGUUCUGAUAUAUUGUUAAACACAGCUGAUUCUUCAGCCCCAGCUAACCAUAACCACAGAAUCUUCACAAUCAAAACAUGGUCCUGAUAACAGUCUUUAAUAUUCCCUCUGAAAUUUCACAAGCCAGGCCUCCAUCAUCUGCACUGUUCUCAACAUUAUCUUCCAGGCUCCUGUACAGCAUCCCACAGAGCUCUUAACACUGAAUGGAUCUUCUAGCCCAAAGUUCCAAAGUCUUUCCCCAAACAUGGUCAGGUUGUCAUAGGAAUACCCCACUCCUGGUACCAAUUUGUCAUUUUUGUUGUGCUUUUUUUUUUUAACUAUUUUAAAAAUGAUUUAAUGUUUAUGGGUGUUUUGUCUGCAUGUACAUCUGUAUCACAUGCAUACUGGUGCCUGAGGAGGCUCUAGAAGGGUGCAUUGCAUCCCCUGGCAUUGUAAUUACAGAUAGCUGUAAACUGUAAGCUAUCUGGGUGUUGGGAAUCAAACCUGGGCCCUAGAAGGGCAGCAAGUUAUUACUUUUUAAAAUUUAUUUAUUCCUUUCUCAUAUAUUACAUCCAAACCUGUUUUCCCUCCCUUUAUACCUCCUAUUCCCUCUGCCCACAAACUCCCCUCUCCCCCAGAUCCACUCCUCCUCUGUUUCCCUUCAAAAAAGAACAAUCCUUCUAGGAUAUCAGCUGAAAAAGGCAGAACAAGUUACAGUAAGACUAGACACAGACCCUCAUAUCAAGGCUGGAUGAGACAACCCAGCAGGAAGAAAGGAUCCCAAGAGUCGAUACAACAGUCAGAGGCAAUCCCCCACUCCCACUGUCAGGAGUCCCACAAGAACUAAGCUGUACAACCAUACAACAUAUGCAGAGGAUCCAGCUCAGACCUACACAUGCUCUGUGAUUGUCAUUUCAGUGUCUGUGAGCCCUGCUUAGUGGAUUCUGUGGGUUUAACACAGCCCACAGGGUCCUCAACCCUUCUUCUCUGACUCCUACAAUCCUUUCUCCCCUCUUCCACGAAGUUCCCCAAUUCUGCCUAAUAUCUGCAGUCAGUACUCUUAACCUGUGAAGUGCCUCUCUGGUUCCUUUACCUUUUCUGGUUGGUUGGUUUUUGGAUUUUUUUUCAGACAUGCUCUCACUAUCUGGCCCUAGCUGUUCUGGAGCUCAGUAUGUAGACCAGGUUGGCCUCUGCCGCAAAUAUCUGGCUGCCUCUGCAUUCCCAGGCUGGAAUUAAAGAUGGUUUGCCUCCAUACCUGGCUCUUUCAUUUAACUUUUUUUUUUUUUUUUUAAUGGAUUUUCAAGACAGGGUUUCUCUGAGUAGCAGAGCUCUGUGACCACAUGACUUCCAAAUUACAGAGAUCCUCCUGCCUCUACAUCCUGAGUGCCAGGAUUAAAGGCUUGUGCUGCCACAACCAGCCCUAACUUCUUAAACAGCCAACAUUAGAUUAACAGAUGUUACAUUUCCUUCUUUAACAGUGAGGUCACCUGAGCAUUCCUCAACUCUUUCUAAGUUUUGUUUAUGACUCUAUUUUACUUAAAAUUUUUAGCUGCCUUUUCUAGAUGCUCUGAAGGAAAAAGCUGCCUGAUAUACCUAUCUGAUGGCUUCUUGGGACACCCUUACAGAUGGUUGAUGUCAAAUGGCCUAUUCCUAGUUUGUAGGUAUUUCAGGGUCUUUUUUUUUAAUGACUUUUUAAAAAAAAUUAUUUAUUUUAUGUACACUGUAGCUGUCUUCAGACACACCAGAAGAGGACAUCAGAUCCCAUUACAUGGUUGUGAGCUACCAUGUGGUUGCUGGGAAUUGAACUCAGCGCCUCUGGAAGAACAGUCAGUUCUCUUAACCACUGAACCAUCUCUUUAGCCCCCUUUCUUUUUUAUAGUUACUAUUUUUAUGUGUAUGGGUGUUUUGCCUGCAUGUGUAUGUACCGUGCAUGUACAGUGGUCAUGGAGGCCAAAGGAGGUCAGCAGAUCCUAGAACUGGAGUUAGAGAUGGUUGUGAGCCAUUGCAUUAUGUGGGUGCUUGGAUUAUAGUCAGCUCCUCCGGAAGAGCAGCAGUGCUCUUUCCUGCUGAGCUGUCUCCUCAGCCCUGUGUUUUUCUAGUUAAACUUCAUCAGUAAGAUACUAAUAUUUUACCCAAAGAUCAAAAAACUUGCUGGGUGGUGGUGGCACACACCUCUGUGCGUGUGUGCACAUGGGUGCUUUUGUUGGUUAUGUUUUUCAACACAGGGUUUCUUGUAUAGCCUUGACUGUCGUGGAACUUGAUCUGUAGAUCAGACUGGCCUCAAACUCACUAGAGAGCUGCCUGUUUCUGCCAGCUGAGGACUGGAAUUCAAGGCAGGAGCCACCAUGGCCCAGCUGUCACCGCCUUUAAUCCCAGUACUGAAGAGGCAGAGGGAUCUGUGAAUUCGGGGCCACUCUAGUCUAUAGAGUUGGAUCCCAGAAAGAACAGCCAGGGCUACAAGAAAAAUCCUGUCUCGAAAACC
Molecule: long non-coding RNA, 2800 nt
Filed under: Mus musculus (house mouse)
Lineage: Eukaryota; Metazoa; Chordata; Mammalia; Rodentia; Muridae
Description: RIKEN cDNA D130062J10 gene
Source: RNAcentral